AGUCGCAAGCUCGCGAGAGUAAGCUAAUCUCUUAAAGCCGUUCUCAGUUCGGACUGUAGGCUGCAACUCGCCUACACGAAGUCGGAAUCGCUAGUAAUCGCGGAUCAGCAUGCCGCGGUGAAUGCGUUCCCGGGCCUUGUACACACCGCCCGUCACACCAUGGGAGUUUGUAACGCCCAAAGUCGGUGGCCUAACCUUUAUGGAGGGAGCCGCCUAAGGCGGGACAGAUGACUGGGGUGAAGUCGUAACAAGGUAAC
RNAcentral lists this ribosomal RNA (257 nucleotides) under uncultured bacterium. RNAcentral's name for it is "partial 16S ribosomal RNA". It matches the Rfam family "Bacterial small subunit ribosomal RNA", at positions 1245 to 1500 of the family's 1533-position model. The record is from RNAcentral.